UGGGGGAUAUUGCACAAUGGGCGAAAGCCUGAUGCAGCGACGCCGCGUGGGGGAUGAAGGCCUUCGGGUUGUAAACUUCUUUUGCUCUGAACAAGGCAUGCCUUUGGGGUGUGUUGAGUGUAGGGGUUGAUUAGCGCCGGCUAACUACGUGCCAGCAGCCGCGGUAAUACGUAGGGCGCGAGCGUUGUCCGGAAUUAUUGGGCGUAAAGGGCUUGUAGGUGGCUGGUUGCGUCUGUCGUGAAAGCUCAUGGCUUAACUGUGGGUUUGCGGUGGUUACGGGCUGGCUUGAGUGCAGUAGGGGAGGCUGGAAUUCCUGGUGUAGCGGUGGAAUGCGCAGAUAUCAGGAGGAAUACCGGUGGCGAAGGCGGGUCUCUGGGCUGUUACUGACGCUGAGGAGCGAAAGCGUGGGGAGCGAACAGG
Molecule: ribosomal RNA, 420 nt
Filed under: Fusobacteriota bacterium
Lineage: Bacteria; Fusobacteriati; Fusobacteriota
Description: Fusobacteria bacterium partial 16S ribosomal RNA
Rfam family: Bacterial small subunit ribosomal RNA
Source: RNAcentral